GUGGGGAAUUUUGGACAAUGGGGGAAACCCUGAUCCAGCCAUUCCGCGUGAGUGAAGAAGGCCUUCGGGUUGUAAAGCUCUUUCGGCAGGAACGAAACGGUUACGGCUAAUACCUGUGACCACUGACGGUACCUGAAGAAGAAGCACCGGCUAACUACGUGCCAGCAGCCGCGGUAAUACGUAGGGUGCGAGCGUUAAUCGGAAUUACUGGGCGUAAAGCGUGCGCAGGCGGUUAUGCAAGCCAGACGUGAAAGCCCCGGGCUUAACCUGGGAAUGGCGUUUGGGACUGCAUGGCUAGAGUACGUCAGAGGGGGGUGGAAUUCCACGUGUAGCAGUGAAAUGCGUAGAGAUGUGGAGGAACACCGAUGGCGAAGGCAGCCCCCUGGGAUGAUACUGACGCUCAGGCACGAAAGCGUGGGGAGCAAACAGGAUUAGAAACCCUAGUAGUCC
RNAcentral lists this ribosomal RNA (450 nucleotides) under uncultured bacterium. RNAcentral's name for it is "bacterial SSU rRNA". It matches the Rfam family "Bacterial small subunit ribosomal RNA", at positions 354 to 796 of the family's 1533-position model. The record is from RNAcentral.